UACGGGAGGCAGCAGUGGGGAAUAUUGCACAAUGGGCGCAAGCCUGAUGCAGCCAUGCCGCGUGUAUGAAAAAGGCCUUCGGGUUGUAAAGUACUUUCAGUCGUGAGGAAGGUGUUAAGGUUAAUAACCUUAGCAAUUGACGUUAGCGACAGAAGAAGCACCGGCUAACUCCGUGCCAGCAGCCGCGGUAAUACGGAGGGUGCGAGCGUUAAUCGGAAUUACUGGGCGUAAAGGGCACGCAGGCGGUUAAUUAAGUUGGAUGUGAAAUCCCCGGGCUUAACCUGGGAAUGGCAUUCAAGACUGGUUAGCUAGAGUCUUGUAGAGGGGGUAGAAUUCCAUGUGUAGCGGUGAAAUGCGUAGAGAUGUGGAGGAAUACCGGUGGCGAAGGCGGCCCCUGGGACAAAGACUGACGCUCAUGUGCGAAAGCGUGGGGAGCGAAACAGGGAUUAGAUACC
Molecule: ribosomal RNA, 455 nt
Filed under: uncultured bacterium
Lineage: Bacteria
Description: bacterial SSU rRNA
Rfam family: Bacterial small subunit ribosomal RNA
Source: RNAcentral